RNAcentral lists this ribosomal RNA (324 nucleotides) under uncultured Rhodocyclaceae bacterium. Its description in RNAcentral is "bacterial SSU rRNA". It matches the Rfam family "Bacterial small subunit ribosomal RNA", at positions 1057 to 1382 of the family's 1533-position model. The record is from RNAcentral. Lineage: Bacteria; Pseudomonadati; Pseudomonadota; Betaproteobacteria; Rhodocyclales; Rhodocyclaceae.
AGCUCGUGUCGUGAGAUGUUGGGUUAAGUCCCGCAACGAGCGCAACCCUUGUCAUUAGUUGCCAUCAUUUGGUUGGGCACUCUAAUGAGACUGCCGGUGACAAACCGGAGGAAGGUGGGGAUGACGUCAAGUCCUCAUGGCCCUUAUGGGUAGGGCUUCACACGUCAUACAAUGGUCGGUACAGAGGGUUGCCAACCCGCGAGGGGGAGCUAAUCCCACAAAGCCGAUCGUAGUCCGGAUCGCAGUCUGCAACUCGACUGCGUGAAGUCGGAAUCGCUAGUAAUCGUGGAUCAGCAUGUCACGGUGAAUACGUUCCCGGGUCUU